AAGUGUGUCUGGGCACAAGGCACUCUUCAGAGCUGGAGAGAAGACAUCCCAGCGAUUGGACAAGGGCCAUGCAGAGGAACCUGGGAGCUGUGCUAGGGAUUCUGUGGGUGCAGAUUUGCUGGGUGAGAGGAGACGAGGUAAAGCAGAGUCCUUCAGCCCUGAGUCUCCACGAGGGAACCGGUUCUACUCUGAGAUGCAAUUUUUCUACCACCAUGAGGAGCGUGCAGUGGUUCCGGCAGAAUCCCAGCGGCAGCCUCGUCAAUCUGUUCAUCUUGGCUUCAGGAACAAAGGAGAAUGUGAGGUUAAAAUCGACAUUUGAUUCUAAGGAGCGAUACAGCACCCUGCACAUCAGGGAUGCCCAGCUGGAGGACUCGGGCACCUACCUCUGUGCGGCUGAGCCACAGUGCUCCCAGUAAGCCUGCAGCCUGGCCCCAAACUGCAGCUGGGCGUGCAGCUACAGACGCCCCCGCCCCCGCCUUCCACAGCUGGGGCUUCAUCAGAUCUCCACAGAGUAUUGAGAAGCUGUGAGGAAUUAUAAAAAUAGCACUGCAGAUCACACUUACAUUCUGACAUGACACCGACCUCUAGAAUGCCAAAUGCUCAGAAAUACCACCCCACGUGAUGAAAUAUGUCAUUUUUGUCAUAUGCUUGUGCUAAUGUCAUUAGAAUAUAAACUCUCUUACAUAUUUGAGAAUCAUCUGGGUCAAUUCUCAAAAUUUGAAACUGAGAGCAACUGUUUUCAGCCUUUGUUUAAAGAGCACCAGACAACACUUUUAGCUAA
Molecule: non-coding RNA, 781 nt
Organism: Apodemus sylvaticus (European woodmouse)
Lineage: Eukaryota; Metazoa; Chordata; Mammalia; Rodentia; Muridae
Source: the annotation of a RefSeq genome assembly